This is a small nuclear RNA of Nycticebus coucang (slow loris), 107 nucleotides long. NCBI's taxonomy places the organism in Eukaryota, Metazoa, Chordata, Mammalia, Primates, Lorisidae. The record is from RefSeq and is a predicted model, not a curated record.
GUGUUCACUUCAGUAGCACAUAUACUAAAAUUGGAAUGAUACAGAGAAGAUAAGCAUGGCUCUUGCACAAAGUUGACAUGCAAAUUCAUGAAGCAUUCCAAAACACA